This 151-nucleotide ribosomal RNA is filed under the name Rhizoctonia solani AG-1 IB. Its description in RNAcentral is "5.8S ribosomal RNA". It matches the Rfam family "5.8S ribosomal RNA". Rfam says of the family: 5.8S ribosomal RNA (5.8S rRNA) is a component of the large subunit of the eukaryotic ribosome. It is transcribed by RNA polymerase I as part of the 45S precursor that also contains 18S and 28S rRNA. The record is from RNAcentral. Lineage: Eukaryota; Fungi; Basidiomycota; Agaricomycetes; Cantharellales; Ceratobasidiaceae.
CUAAGUUUCAACAACGGAUCUCUUGGCUCUCGCAUCGAUGAAGAACGCAGCGAAAUGCGAUAAGUAAUGUGAAUUGCAGAAUUCAGUGAAUCAUCGAAUCUUUGAACGCACCUUGCGCUCCUUGGUAUUCCUUGGAGCAUGCCUGUUUGAG